This 846-nucleotide ribosomal RNA is filed under the name uncultured Gammaproteobacteria bacterium. RNAcentral describes it as "bacterial SSU rRNA". It matches the Rfam family "Bacterial small subunit ribosomal RNA", at positions 35 to 877 of the family's 1533-position model. Lineage: Bacteria; Pseudomonadati; Pseudomonadota; Gammaproteobacteria. The record is from RNAcentral.
GCUGGCGGUAGGCUUAACACAUGCAAGUCGUGCGAGAAAGUAUCUUCGGAUAUGAGUAGAGCGGCGGACGGGUGAGUAACGCGUAGGAAUCUACCUAGUAGAAGGGGAUAGCCCGAGGAAACUCGGAUUAAUACCGUAUACCUCCUUAGGGAGAAAGAGGGCCUCUCUUGAUGCUCUCGCUAUUAGAUGAGCCUGCGUAAGAUUAGCUUGUUGGUGAGGUAAUGGCUCACCAAGGCUACGAUCUUUAGCUGGUCUGAGAGGACGAUCAGCCACAUUGGGACUGAGACACGGCCCAGACUCCUACGGGAGGCAGCAGUGGGGAAUAUUGGACAAUGGGCGCAAGCCUGAUCCAGCCAUACCGCGUGUGUGAAGAAGGCUCUAGGGUUGUAAAGCACUUUAAGCAGGGAGAAAAAGUUAUAAGUUAAUACCUUAUAACCCUGAUGUUACCUGCAGAAUAAGCACCGGCUAAUUCCGUGCCAGCAGCCGCGGUAAUACGGAAGGUGCAAGCGUUAAUCGGAAUUACUGGGCGUAAAGCGCGCGUAGGUGGUUUGUUAAGUUGGAUGUGAAAGCCCUGGGCUCAACCUAGGAACUGCAUCCAAAACUAACUCACUAGAGUACGAUAGAGGGAGGUAGAAUUCAUAGUGUAGCGGUGGAAUGCGUAGAUAUUAUGAAGAAUACCAGUGGCGAAGGCGGCCUCCUGGAUCUGUACUGACACUGAGGUGCGAAAGCGUGGGUAGCGAACAGGAUUAGAUACCCUGGUAGUCCACGCCGUAAACGAUGACAACUAGCUGUUGGGAGACAAUGUCUUUCAGUGGCGCAGCUAACGUUUUAAGUUGUCCGCCUGGG